GCCAUUUGUAGUCCCAGCACUUUGGAAGGUUAUUAGCCCCAUCUUAUAUUUGCAGAAACAGAGGGUUAGAGGGUUGAGGUUACUCAGCUAAAAAAAUGAUGGAGCCAGGUUUCCAACAUCCAGAGCCUGUGUUCUUAUUUUUUAUUUUUAUUGAAAAGAUAAUACAGUACAAAAGAGUACAUAUUAAAAGGUAAGGCUCUGUUCUACUCCAGACUCCUAGCUGUUUCCCUUCUCAGAGGACAUCAUUCAUAUGAAGACAUUUUCUAAGUGUUUACAAGCACACAUGUGUAUAUUUCUGUUUCUUGUCCCCUCUCCCCCAGUUUUUUUAGACAGGGUCUCACUCUGUUGUCCAGGCUAAAGUACAGUAGUGCAAUCAUAGCUCACUGCAGCCUCAAUCUCCUGGGCUCCAGCAAUCCUCCAUCUCAGCCUCCCAAGUUAGCUGGGACUACAGGCAUACACCACCAUGCUUGGCAUUUUUAUUUUUUUGCUAUGUUGCCCAGGCUGGUCUUGAAAUCCUGGGCUCAAGCAACCCUCCCACCUCAGAGGUAGGGAUUACAGGCAUGAGCCACCAAGCCCAGCCUUCCCUUACCUUUUUAAAGUACAAAAUUAUAUUCUACGCUCUGUUGUGUACCAUAUUUUUUCCCCCACUUAACAUGUUUUGUAGAUCCUUUGUAUAAUUGGCACAUAUGGAAAUAACUUAUUUUUUAUAGCUGCAGAGGAUGAAUGUAAUGCAAUUUAUUUAACCAUCUUUCCAAUGAAAGUAAUUUAAAUUCUUUUUAUCUUUUGCUAUUGCAAAUAUUGCUGCAAUAAACAUUUUUUUGAAGAUGGGGUCCUGCUAUAUUGCGCAGGCUGGUCUUGAACUCCUGGCCUCAAGUGAUUCUCCCACCUCAGCCUCCUGAGUAGUCAAGAUUAGAGGCAUAAGCCACUGUGCCCAGUGCAAUAUGCAUUCUGAUACUUAGGUCAUUACAGACAUGUACAAGUAUAUCUGUAGGACAAAUAUCUAGAAAUGGAAUUUCUGGCUCAAAGGGUAAUGCGCAUUACAAUUUUGAUAGAUAUGGCCAGAGAGGUUCCAAGAAUUUACAUUUUCCUCAAACACUGUGAAAAUUCCUGUUUCCCCAUAUUCUUAUCAGUGCCAUGUAUUGUAAACUCCUUAUUUUUGCUAAUCCAGUAGAAAAAAAUAGCAUUUUGCUGUUAUGAAUUUGCAUACUUCCAACAAAUAUAUAAACAUAAAUUUGUAUUUUUUUCUGGUAUGUAUAAUUCAGCUUCUCCUUAAUGAUUCGUAAAAACUCCAUUUUUUUUUAAGUCCAUUAUCUGUCAUAUGAGUUGCAAAUAUUUUUCUCCCAGUUGGCAUUUUUUCUUUGUGAAAUUUUUUAUUCUGGUGAAGAAAUUUCCAUUUUUGAUGUAGUUAAAUUUAUCAAAUGUUUUCCUUUGUGGUUUCUGGAUUUUGUGUUUUGCUUAAAAGAAAUAGGGCCUAUAAUUUUAGCCAUUAUACUAUGCGGUUUCUUUAUUUUCUUUUAUAUUUAUUUAUUUAUUUAUUUAUUUGUUUUUGAGACAGUUUUGCUCUUGUUGCCCAGGCUGGAGUGCAAUGUGCGAUCUCGGCUCACUGCAACCUCCGCCUCCCGGGUUCAAGCGAUUCUCUUGCCUCAGCCUCCGGAGUAGGUGGGAUUACAGGCAUGCGCCACCAUGCCCAGCUAAUUUUGAAUUUUUUAAAAAAUAGAGACAGGGUUUUGCCAUGUUGGUCAGGCUGGUUUUGCAAUCCUGACCUCAGGUGAUCCGCCCACCUUGGCCUCCCAAAGUGCUGGGAUUACAGGCAUGAGCCACUGCACCCAGCCUAUAUUUUAUUUUUGAGACCAAGUCUCCCAGGCUGGAGUGCAGUAGCCGAGACGGGCAGAUCACCUGAGCUCAGGAGUUCGAGACCAGCCUGGCGAACAUGGCAAAACCCUGUCUCUACUAAAAAUACACAAAUUAGCUGGGCGUGGUGGUGCAUGCCUGUAAUGCCAGGCUGAGAUAGGAGGCUGAGAUGGGAGAAUCACUGGAACCAAGGAGCUGGAGGUUGCAGUGAGCCAAGAUUGCGCCACUGCACUCCAGCAUGCGUGACAGAGC
This 2103-nucleotide long non-coding RNA is filed under the name Homo sapiens (human). Its description in RNAcentral is "HSALNT0232840". Lineage: Eukaryota; Metazoa; Chordata; Mammalia; Primates; Hominidae. The record is from RNAcentral.